RNAcentral lists this long non-coding RNA (410 nucleotides) under Brassica napus (rape). RNAcentral describes it as "long non-coding RNA (BNAP_LNC025530)". The record is from RNAcentral. Lineage: Eukaryota; Viridiplantae; Streptophyta; Magnoliopsida; Brassicales; Brassicaceae.
AGAGAGAAUAUAGUGAUGAUAAUAUAUUUGGUUCUUGGCGUGAGUGGACAACACCUGGAAUGAAAAGUCGAGAUGACUCCUUAAAGAAGUUAGCAGCAAGGGGUAACUUGUGGCAGAGGUACGAAUCUGGAUGGGGACAGAGAGGCAUAAAGAGGAGCAGUGAAGUGUGUUUGAAUUGUUACUUAAUAAAGAAGGAUAAAGGUAGAGUCAAUCAAUCGAUCUCACUGUUCAUUUCAUGUCAUAGUGGACCAUGUGAAAUUUUUCAGUGGGUUUUUCAUUUUCGGCUCUUUUCUCUCUUAUUGAAAAUUUAAGCCUAUACGAACAAAGCUAUUGUCAGUGGAAAAGAAAGGUGAAAUAAGAAGUUAUAAACAACAAAAAAUGAUGGUUACCUACAUAUAAACCAUUUUUUU